UACGGAAGGCAGCAGGGGGAAUAUUGCACAAUGGGCGCAAGCCUGAUGCAGCCAUGCCGCGUGUAUGAAAAAGGCCUUCGGGUUGUAAAGUACUUUCAGUCGUGAGGAAGGUGUUAAGGUUAAUAACCUUAGCAAUUGACGUUAGCGACAGAAGAAGCACCGGCUAACUCCGUGCCAGCAGCCGCGGUAAUACGGAGGGUGCGAGCGUUAAUCGGAAUUACUGGGCGUAAAGGGCACGCAGGCGGUUAAUUAAGUUGGAUGUGAAAUCCCCGGGCUUAACCUGGGAAUGGCAUUCAAGACUGGUUAGCUAGAGUCUUGUAGAGGGGGUAGAAUUCCAUGUGUAGCGGUGAAAUGCGUAGAGAUGUGGAGGAAUACCGGUGGCGAAGGCGGCCCCUGGACAAAGACUGACGCUCAUGUGCGAAAGCGUGGGGAGCAAACGAGGAGUAGAUA
This 450-nucleotide ribosomal RNA is filed under the name uncultured bacterium. RNAcentral's name for it is "bacterial SSU rRNA". It matches the Rfam family "Bacterial small subunit ribosomal RNA", at positions 340 to 784 of the family's 1533-position model. The record is from RNAcentral.